UUUUAGGGAGACCUACCCUUGAUAACUCCGAACCAAAUUGAAUUAGGAGUAUUGAGUGGUCACUCUAGGUCGUUCAGGACUUUGAGAUUAGUUUCUAGACUAUGGUUGAGGUUUAUUUCUUAACUUUAGAUGACUGCUAGCAAUAGUUAUUUAGGGAAAAGGGAACUAAACACGGGCUAUUAGCUCAGGUGGUUAGAGCGCACCCCUGAUAAGGGUGAGGUCCCUGGUUCGAGUCCAGGAUGGCCCACUGCGUGGGGGUUUAGCUCAGUUGGUAGAGCGCCUGCUUUGCAAGCAGGAUGUCAGCGGUUCGAGUCCGCUAACCUCCACCACGACUGACUGAACUAAUGAGUGGGGAUAAAUUCAGCACAGUGUGUUUUGGGAUUGACCAAGACAUAGUCUGCUGGGUGAGAGCCUAGCUAAGAACCUUGAAAACUGAAUAUGAGAGAAGUGUAAGGUAGUACACACAGAACAUUCAAAGUUCGUUGAGAGAAGAGUGAAUUUGAUUAGUUUCGACUAAUUGAAUGAAGGUCAAGCUACAACGGGCUCACGGUGGAUC
RNAcentral lists this transfer RNA (556 nucleotides) under Pseudanabaenaceae cyanobacterium DPG1-KK5. Its description in RNAcentral is "16S-23S ribosomal RNA intergenic spacer". The stretch from base 254 to 326 matches the Rfam family "tRNA". The record is from RNAcentral. Lineage: Bacteria; Bacillati; Cyanobacteriota; Cyanophyceae; Pseudanabaenales; Pseudanabaenaceae.